GUGCCAGCCGCCGCGGUGAUACGUAGGGAGCAAGCGUUGUCCGGAAUUACUGGGCGUAAAGGGCCUGUAGGUGGUUGAGUAAGUCGGAUGUGAAAUCUCAGGGCCCAACCCUGAGCGUGCAUCCGAUACUGCUCUGACUAGAGUCCGGUAGGGGAGCGUGGAACUCCUGGUGUAGCGGUGAAAUGCGCAGAUAUCAGGAAGAACACCGACAGCGGAGGCAGCGCUCUGGGCCGGUACUGACACUGAGGAGCGAAAGCAUGGGUAGCAAACAGGAUUAGAAACCCGGGUAGUCC
This 293-nucleotide ribosomal RNA is filed under the name uncultured bacterium. Its description in RNAcentral is "partial 16S ribosomal RNA". It matches the Rfam family "Bacterial small subunit ribosomal RNA", at positions 505 to 796 of the family's 1533-position model. The record is from RNAcentral.